AGCGGCGGAUGGGUGAGUAACACGUGGGGAACCUGCCCCUAAGUCCGGGAUACCAUUUGGAAACAGGUGCUAAUACCGGAUAAUAAAGCAGAUCGCAUGAUCAGCUUUUGAAAGGCGGCGUAAGCUGUCGCUAAGGGAUGGCCCCGCGGUGCAUUAGCUAGUUGGUAAGGUAACGGCUUACCAAGGCGACGAUGCAUAGCCGAGUUGAGAGACUGAUCGGCCACAUUGGGACUGAGACACGGCCCAAACUCCUACGGGAGGCAGCAGUAGGGAAUCUUCCACAAUGGACGCAAGCCUGAUGGAGCAACGCCGCGUGAGUGAAGAAGGUUUUCGGAUCGUAAAGCUCUGUUGUUGGUGAAGAAGGAUAGAGGUAGUAACUGGCCUUUAUUUGACGGUAAUCAACCAGAAAGUCACGGCCAACUACGUGCCAGCAGCCGUGGUAAUACGUAGGUGGCAAGCGUUGUCCGGAUUUAUUGGGCGUAAAGCGAGCGCAGGCGGAAAAAUAAGUCUAAUGUGAAAGCCCUCGGCUUAACCGAGGAACUGCAUCGGAAACUGUUUUUCUUGAGUGCAGAAGAGGAGAGUGGAACUCCAUGUGUAGCGGUGGAAUGCGUAGAUAUAUGGAAGAACACCAGUGGCGAAGGCGGCUCUCUGGUCUGCAACUGCCGCUGAGGCUCGAAUGCAUGGGUAGCGAACAGGAUUAGAUACCCUGGUAGUCCAUGCCGUAAACGAUGAGUGCUAAGUGU
RNAcentral lists this ribosomal RNA (743 nucleotides) under uncultured bacterium. RNAcentral's name for it is "bacterial SSU rRNA". It matches the Rfam family "Bacterial small subunit ribosomal RNA", at positions 94 to 823 of the family's 1533-position model. The record is from RNAcentral.